CUACGGGUGGCUGCAGUGGGGAAUAUUGCACAAUGGGCGCAAGCCUGAUGCAGCAACGCCGCGUGAGGGACGACGGCCUUCGGGUUGUAAACCUCUUUUAGCAGGGAAGAAGCGAAAGUGACGGUACCUGCAGAAAAAGCACCGGCUAACUACGUGCCAGCAGCCGCGGUAAUACGUAGGGUGCAAGCGUUGUCCGGAAUUAUUGGGCGUAAAGAGCUCGUAGGCGGUUUGUCGCGUCUGCUGUGAAGAUCCGAGGCUCAACCUCGGACCUGCAGUGGGUACGGGCAAACUAGAGUGCGGUAGGGGAGAUUGGAAUUCCAGGUGUAGCGGUGGAAUGCGCAGAUAUCAGGAGGAACACCAAUGGCGAAGGCAGAUCUCUGGGCCGUAACUGACGCUGAGGAGCGAAAGCGUGGGGAGCGAACAGGAUUAGAUACCCCUGUAGUC
RNAcentral lists this ribosomal RNA (444 nucleotides) under uncultured bacterium. Its description in RNAcentral is "partial 16S ribosomal RNA". It matches the Rfam family "Bacterial small subunit ribosomal RNA", at positions 339 to 795 of the family's 1533-position model. The record is from RNAcentral.